GCAUGGCGGCAGCUACACAUGCAGUCGAGCGGUAACAGAUCCAGCUUGCUGGAUGCUGACGAGCGGCGGACGGGUGAGUAAUGCAUAGGAAUCUGCCCGAUAGUGGGGGAUAACCUGGGGAAACCCAGGCUAAUACCGCAUACGUCCUACGGGAGAAAGGGGGCUUCGGCUCCCGCUAUCGGAUGAGCCUAUGUCGGAUUAGCUAGUUGGUGAGGUAACGGCUCACCAAGGCCACGAUCCGUAGCUGGUCUGAGAGGAUGAUCAGCCACAUCGGGACUGAGACACGGCCCGAACUCCUACGGGAGGCAGCAGUGGGGAAUAUUGGACAAUGGGGGGAACCCUGAUCCAGCCAUGCCGCGUGUGUGAAGAAGGCCCUCGGGUUGUAAAGCACUUUCAGCGAGGAAGAACGCCUAGCGGUUAAUACCCGCUAGGAAAGACAUCACUCGCAGAAGAAGCACCGGCUAACUCCGUGCCAGCAGCCGCGGUAAUACGGAGGGUGCAAGCGUUAAUCGGAAUUACUGGGCGUAAAGCGCGCGUAGGUGGCUUGAUAAGCCGGUUGUGAAAGCCCCGGGCUCAACCUGGGAACGGCAUCCGGAACUGUCAAGCUAGAGUGCAGGAGAGGAAGGUAGAAUUCCCGGUGUAGCGGUGAAAUGCGUAGAGAUCGGGAGGAAUACCAGUGGCGAAGGCGGCCUUCUGGACUGACACUGACACUGAGGUGCGAAAGCGUGGGUAGCAAACAGGAUUAGUCCUUUG
RNAcentral lists this ribosomal RNA (753 nucleotides) under Vreelandella aquamarina. Its description in RNAcentral is "bacterial SSU rRNA". It matches the Rfam family "Bacterial small subunit ribosomal RNA", at positions 35 to 789 of the family's 1533-position model. Lineage: Bacteria; Pseudomonadati; Pseudomonadota; Gammaproteobacteria; Oceanospirillales; Halomonadaceae. The record is from RNAcentral.